UCAUGCUUUAUUGCUUGCCCUUGGCCUGUGCAGCUUAUUCAGACAGGCAGAAGUGCCCUGUGCAGAGCACGAGCAAAGUGUUGGAUUUAAAUCCCUUUAGGCACGCCCUAUUAAUGCUCUUGUGUAUCACACUGUGAGCAGAUUCAUUCAUUCUCUAACAUUUGCUGAGCCCUAUCUAUGUCCUGGCCAUGGUGCUCAGCGCUGGGUACAGAAGGGGGAACAGAUGACACCCUGACUCCCGAAGCUCUGGAUUUGAUUUCGUAGCAUGAGGCAGACAAGCACAGCAACAAGAUCACAGCCAUCAACAGCUGCCUCAGAUGCCAGCUGUGCACACUGGAGACACAGAAUGAGAGAGACUCCUGGACAAACUGAGACCUGACAGGUGAACCAAGGUCCUGGUGGAGCAACUAUGUCUGAUGGAUGCAAACUUGCUACCUACAAAUCACGGAGCUAAGCAUCAACCUGAGUGGCUAAUGAUCAUCUUAAUUAACCCACAAGACUUUAUGCAUGGCUGGUAUUCAUCCAACCUUUUGAUCCUAGACAGGAAUCUAUUAAAGACCGUUGAGAGAAUGAAAAGACAAAAUCCAACUUCCAUAAGCAGAAUUGUUAAGAGGAAAGACAGAAGAAUGAUCUUUGAUCAGAGAGGCGAAUGCCAACACAGCAGCUUCUUACUCUAUUUAUUAGCUUGGGAUCUUUGCCAGAAGAUUUUUCUCUGUCAACCAUUUCCAGACUUGUAGGUUGUCAUUGCUAAGACUGGAAUGACAGAAGCCUCAGCCAUGAACCUGAAAUGGGAUGCAAAGAUAUUUUUUCCCCUCCCCUUCAGCAUGUUCCUCAGCAUCUGAUCAGGCAACACCCAGAAUGUGGUCCUGAAACAUCUAAAAAAGGCCUGGAUUCAGCUUCUCUUGAAUUCCAAAGGCCUGAUACGCCUGUGAUUUUUUUCCUUGGUGCCAAGUCAGCUCUGCUUAUCGACUGCUAUUUUAAUGAAACCUCCUGGUACCAGCUCAGGAAGGAUAUUUUUAUUAGAUACGACUGGGCGGAUUCUCAUGUUGAAAGCAUUUGGUGUAAAACAUGAACACAUUCAGUCCUCAGAUAUCCUUCCAAAUAUUUCCUUUGAAAUCGGAAAAUUACCAAGGAACUUGUGAUAAAAGAUGAAAAAAGGAAUUAAAAGGGUAAAAAAAAAAAGCCCACAAAGAUGACGUGCUUUGCUUCCUCUCUACACUUCUACAUGGGUGGGGCUAUGGAUAUCAGCAUUUGGAGAAAAGGAGACACCUGGAACUCAGCAAUCCCAGCCUUGCCUGUACACAUGGAGACCUAGAACCGGGGCUGGUUGCGCUCUUGAUGUCUCUUCUCCCAUGUCUUCUUCUAACUUCCCAUUAGGGCUGAAGUCAUGUGAUACAAAACCUCCUGUUCUCAGGAUGACCUUGGCCUUGAAUUUCUAAUCUUCUUGCCUCCACUUCCCAAGUAUUGGGAAUAUGGGCAUCAGCUACCUCUCCUGGCACAAAAAGGUAUUUUAUAUGAUGGCAUUUUAAUUAUAGCUCUCACUCAACUCUACUUGCAGCUUAAACAAACAAAUGAACAAAUGAACACAGAAUGUUUCUUGAUGCUGGGUAUUGAAGCAAAGUCCUCAUAGACGCUAAUUUCAUGUUCAACUAUUAAAUUAUGCCCGUUUUCCCUCAUCAUUUACUGUUACUCCCCAUUGUCAAUGCAUUCAAACAUCACAUGAAACAUGCUCAUUAUUUUAUUUUGUGCUUUGAUCCUGUCAAGAAUAGUAUUAUCAUACUUCUACAAAAGGUCAUAAUCCUCAGGCUCAAAGCAUGAUCUGCUUGUCUCUUUCCCUCUGGCUAAGUUACUAUGAUGCCACUCAUGUUCUCUGUCUUCUCUCUUGUCUACAGGAACUGGGAAUGAAAAGCUUGAAGGAAUAUAACAUGACAUACAGCUGCCAGUGGGUGGAAUGUGCACAGAGGAAGCUCUAAGGGGAACUCUAGCACAUGCACGUCUCCGUGAUGCAUGCGGUGCCUGCAUCCAGGCUAUGCGCUACCAGAUGGUGAUCCACGCUUCUGUUGCCUGGCCCUUAAAAUCACAGCUACCUUUUGGCCAAUCCUGGAGGAAGUGAACUGCCAUUAAAGGUCACUCCCAGGAUAUCUCCUUCACAUCCUCCGAAUUAACCUCUCAAUAGUAGACUGAGGCUGUGAUUUUUUUUUAAAGCCAGGACUGCUUUCUGGCUACGGUUUUAGCCACGUGUCUAUCAAUCUCAAAGGGGUUUUGCUGUCUUCAUGGCAAACAAAGACCUAGUCAGCCUUGCCACUUACUUUGUGAUGCUUUGUGCAAAAGAAGGCCAUCUUUGAGGCUUCUCAAGAUUUCUCCCAGGACUCCUAAGAAUCCUUUUGCAAAGGAUACCUGCAAACCUUCCUGGACAUGCAAGGAGUCAAGUGAUGCGUAUGCAAAUGAGACUCCCUUGUGACUCUGAAUCACUAUACCACUGAGGAGCUUUUCUUCACAGUAAUCAACAUCUCAUCUUAAUUGCUUUUGUUUAUGUUCAAUAAGUGCAUCAUUUUGGCAACACCAGCUCACAGCAAUAUCUUAAAUUACCCAAGGCUGCCCACUUUCAUUUAUGGACUCUGCCUUGUGUCUGAUGAGCACUUAGAUUUUUUAACUAUUUAUUUCCUCUGCCUGACAGGGAAUGAAGAAUAUACAGCUUAUGGGAAAAAUUAAGUAGGAGGAGCAGUGAGGACUAGGGAACCAUAACAGAAGUGUACAGUAUGCAAGGCCAAUACAAAAGCAGUGAGUUUUUAAUAAUCCGAGUGUGCAAUACAUAUGUAUCCCUCAUAAAAUCAAUUGUUGAUUAUUGUCGAAUCUGCUAUUUCUCAGUUUUCCACCUCAUAUAAGACCAGAAAAAAAAUCCUGGAGGAAUUAAGAAAAAUGAAAAUGCUCCAAUAAUGGCAAAUUCAGUUAUGGUUAAAAAAAAUAAAGUUGUCUACUAAGUUGAUGUUUAACACAUAGCCCCUUCCAGGAACUGAGUUGAGGGUGUUGGAUGCACUGAUUACUAGGAGUAUAAUCUGAGAUAAAACUGCAUUUUUUGCCCUUGAUUUGAGUAAUUAUCUUGCUUUAAAAUAAAUUCCAGUUGUCAUUAUGCAGGCAGAGGAAAGUCAGAAAAUGGAGGGCCACUGGGGAAUCUGUGGGCAUCACUGGAGCUGUGCUAUUCAUCAUCUCCAUGAAGCCGCUCAUGUUACUAUAAUAAUCCAUGCCUUGAUUUCCCAGUCUGUCCCCCCUCCGACUGACUACUUACCAUCUUAUUGCCUUUAUCAUUAUGGUACAGGGUUAGGUGGCUGAACCCAGUGUUACCAGGUUCUUGGCCUCUUAUUCAAGAGUGAAGCGGAAGCUCACCCAGAUUGUAAAGCUGUCUGUCUGAGGAAAUUUUAUUUAAAGUUGAGCAAUAGAAAAGAUCAGAAGACACUGCCAGGGAGCAGUGGGGCACCAGAGCGAAGCUACUCAAGAGCUCUCAGGCUUCGCCUCAGGCUUCUUGCUAUAAUGUCUAAAGGAAGAAGGGGUUGGUUACCAAGGGAAUUUAUUUUGGGUCACAUAAUCAUUUUUAUACUUUGCAUAUCCCUUUCUGUAAUGCAUAUUGUAUCAUAUUAUGCCCAAUUCUGUAUAGGCAGUAGGAGGUAAAUAGGGAAGUCUCCUUAAAAGCUCACUUCAAGACACAGUUUUACCUAAUUGAUUAUGAACCCCAAAAGGAUUCAGAAUGCAUUGGUUUCCUAUCUUCCCUACAAGGCACAAGCAGUGUAUGAUUGGGCAGAUUCUAAGUUUGCUAGUUGUUAACCAGAGAAGAAAUGUACUUCACAGAAAUGUAUCUCAUUGUGUGGCUUGGUGCAGGUGGGAGUCUUAGAUUAGCUAAGACUUGGUUCAGAGGGAACGGUGAAAAGCUUAAGGCAAGUGGAGUCUCAGUUUGUUAAAAUGUUUCUUUUGCUUGCCUGUCUCAGUUACAUUUAAUUAUGGGAGAAUAUUAGCUAGCAGUUGGUAAGUAAUAAAAUCACAAGUGUGGUUUCAAACAACUUGCCUUUGUAAUAGAAGUUUCUAUGAUAAAAAAAAAUCUGUGUAAACAUAGCAACUGAAUCCUCUCUUUCAGGGACACAGAGGGAUAAAUCAAGGUAUUCAAUGGGAUUAUGUCUCAUCUGAGGUGGGACCAGGGAAGGAUAUGCACCCAAGCUUCCAAGCUUCUCUGGUAACUGGCAGAAUUUCAUUCCCUGUAGUUUGCUUAUCUGAGGAUUUUAUGUUCUGGCUGAGUGGGAGGCAUUGUUAGUUCCUACACAGUUUCUGGGCAGAGACUGCUUCAGUUCUGUGGGAUGUGGACCUUCUUGCUUUAACCAAUGUGUUCAUUAAGGCAGGUAAAAGAAAGAGAGAGAAUGUUGAGAGGGAAACACACUGGUUCGGGAAUUGUUUAUUUGUUGUUUUUUCUUUUUGUUUCAGCCAAAAGUAGUACAAGCCAUCAACUACCAUGAAACUCUCCCUUCAGUUCACGCUCAGUUUCUUUUGAAGUCUUGGUUGGUUAAUCCAUUUCAUGGGUGUGAGUCAUUGCCAUGCAGGUAGCAUGACGCAUGGCAAUUCUUUCCUUCCUUGUUUCUGAGGCAAAGAACACUGAAUCAAGGCAUCUCCGGGGCCAUGUCUUCUCUGGGGCUGGAGAGAAGGGCUCUUCUUUGCCUCUUCCUGGUUUUCUUGACUCUCCUAACCCUUAACUUGAGGCUGUCACUGCAGCCUCUGCUGCAAAUGCCAAGCAGAAUUUCCCUUGCUUUUGUCUAUGUUUACCCUUCUCCUUAUAUAGACAUAAAUCAUCAAGUUUGGGAUCCACCUAAUCCCAUAUGGUCUCAUUUUAAAAUGACUACAUCGGCAAAGAGUGUUUCCACAUAGAGAAUUUGGGAUAGACGUGGCAUAUUUGUGGACACUGUUCAUCCCACUAUUGCUGUGACUUUUCCCUUUGGCCUUUGCUACCUUACUCUAAAUGAAACAUGCAAACCACACUUUUUAACUCCCCACUGUGAAUGAUAAAGCUUCUUAAAAGGCAGCCAGGGAAGUGGUCCAGAAUCAGCACCUUCAGUAGUCAAAGAACCAGGGCUGAUAUUUGGUGUCCUUUUGCUGCAAGUUCCUCAUCUAUAAAAUGUUAAUAAUAAUGAUGAUGUUACUUAGCAUUUGGUAUUGUUAGAGGACUAAGUGACAUAUGUAGUAUGCAGAAUUAUAAGAACAAUUUCUGGUCCAUAGAAAACACUCCAAAGAGUCAUAAUCCAGCUCUCCUUUUAUCCCCCCCCCCAACUAGCUUAUUAGUUAUUAGUAAAUAUUAUUAGUAAAUGUUGUGUUUAGUGCUUGUUUUUCAAAUUAUACUUAAAGUCAUUGAUUAAUAAUUUUGACUAUACUCACAACCAAUUAUGAAGGUAAAACAGAAACAAAUGUCUAUAAUGGGAUACAUUCAUAUAUUUAUAGUUUAUGAUAAUUAAAUAACAAAUUAAAAUUGAUUGCAAUUAUGUGUUAAAUGAUUUAGAGCAUAGAGGUAUGUGAGAAGUCUUUAUUGCUUAAUAUACUUAUAUAGUGUUUGAAUAAUUCUUUCUUCUAUGAAUAAAUAAGUAACUUCAUAUACUUUUGCUUAUCUAUCUCUAGGUGUUUCAGCUGUGCUAUUUCUCUUUUCCUCCUUGGUCUCUGUAUUUACUUUAUGUGACUUAGUCAUCUUUAUUUUGUUGAGUGACUAACUUUAAGCACAGUAUUUGCAUGGGAAAUCACCUAUUAUCUGUGCACUUUAUUAUCACAACACUCAUGUUACCAUUUCAUAUUUGAGUUCUUAUCCUCAGCAGGAUUGUAUUAUUGACACGUGGCGUGCAUCAGUUCAUUUAAUCUCCGUGACAUGUAUGACAUUUCACUGAUGAGAUAACAGGAGGUACAGAGUGCCAAAGUAAUUUGUGCAAGGCCGCAGAGCUUCUCCAUGGCACAUGUGGUGUUUGAGAAGUUUCUGGCAUCAGAAUUUCUUGUUAGAGCCAGUUCAUUCUGUGGCUUCUUAGUGUCCAUAAACUCAAGGCAGAUUGCCAUACUCUACAUGGAUCCAGUGAUUGACAUAGCUGGGGCAUGGAGGGAAUGAAGGAAGGACAGUCACAUGAGUACAGACACAGAAUAACUAGGAUUGGGGACUGGGGUCUCUCCGAUGAAGAAGCCACAAUAUGACAGGGCGAGACAGUGCAGAGAUCUCUCCCUCUUGUAUUCUUGCUGAGGUCAUCUUAACUCCAGUUUGAUCUCCUUGAUGGGAAGCCCCAUGGAAAAUUACUCAACUCUAUUCUAGGAGUCCAAGGUCACAAUGCCCUGCUAUUUUCUGUUAAAUUGCCUGCCUGUGCAAACCUCCCUCUCUAGCUAACUGCUUAUCUUAAUGUCUGUUAAACUGCUUGCUUGAGCAAAACAUUGCUCUGAAGUUGCAGAGUGAGAAUUCUGGAUGUGGUUUUUGUCUUUAAAAACCCCUUACCCUAAACACCUAGUACUAUCCUUGAGACCAGAAUACCUAGGAGGUGCUGGAAUAAAGACUUUCUACUGGCUAUAAACUGUGUGGUACUCUCUGGUGGAUUCCCCAAAACAACAGCACCUCCGAAGUUCUGUGGGUUUAUUAUAUACCAUAGAAUUGGGGUUUUUGGGCAAAGCUGAACAAGGAGGCAGAAUUUAUGGUGUACAGAGCAUAGAGAAGGAAGGUUUAGCUAAUCACCGUAGGAGAGGUUUCUGUAGGGAGAAGUCUUCAGGCAUAAAUAUCUGAGCAGGGGAAGAGGAGAGAGAAAACUAUGGUAGACAUUUUCUGCCCAUACUGCCAGCUUUCACACUUAGACCAGAGGAAGCAUUGUUACCUCUCUGAGCCUCAGCCAGAGAAGGCUUUGCCAGUCCUAUACCAUUGAGGUAUUGGGGGUCUUGACAUUGCUGCCUGUGUCAACAUCAUAUAUUCACUCAAGACUGUACUUGCUCUCUACACAGAAUCUCGUUGCAUGUGACUAAAGGCACAUAGACUCUGUAUAUCUACUGAGUCACAGAUUUGGUGUCUCUGAAUACAUGCCACCCAAAAGAACAACAGCAAAAAAUCAUUAACGCAAAGAAGUGCUCCCUUUGUUUAUAGCCAACCAGUACUCCUUCCAUGUGUCUAUCCAACUCAGGCCUUUUCAGGCAUUGUGUUUUACCAGGGGCCCCUUUAAUAUUUCUCAUUCAUAGAGAAAAUGAAACCAUGCCUCUGUCUUCCCAUUAAGAAGUUGCAGUGCCUUCUUUACACAGAUCCGAUGACAGAAGUUCUUCUCCUGUCGAAGAGGUUAUUUCUGACACCUCUCGACUUCCUGUCCCCAUUUGGACUGAUUGCUUCCCUGGCACAUGCUUGUCACCCUGAGAUCUUACUUGAUUGCCCUUCUGGGUUUACCUUCCAUUUUCCCUUCACUUUGCUGAACUCCUUUUCUAUUUUCCUUGGAUUUCUUUUUCAUUUGGCUCAAGUAUAUUUUCCGUUUUAUUAUUGUUUUGCAGAAAGCACUCUCGGCUGAAACACGAUGUUCUUAUAUGUAUGCUGGUAAGGUGUAUAAUUGAAAUAUGCUUUCCAUCAAAAAGUAGAAAUUGAUGUGAAUCUGAUUAUUGGCCCAUUGAAGAUAACACCUUUCUGUCUCCCUAAGCUUUGAGGAUUUCCUCACAGGCUGUGCUAUUUUGGACUGUUGCCAGAUGUCAUUGAGCGUUGUUCAUCCUCUAUGACACUUGGAGUGAAUCUGUCAUUCUGCAACAACCGGAGUUUUAUUUCUAAAACAUAAAUCCCCAGGCCCCAUCUUCAUCUAGGGCAGAAUCUCGAUAUUCUUCCACCAUCUCUGAAUGUACUGUUAGUCGACACUGUCCCAUAGAUGAUGCUAGCUAAAACAGGGAUCUGGGUAUUUUUUAUUUAGUCCGUCUUAAUGUGGUGUAGUGUCCCCGUUAGUAAAACUGUCACGCGGACCUAUGCUCAUCUAGGUUUCAAUCCCUUCAGCAGAAGAAUGGCAUGGAAUGUAAAGGAAAGACACCCCUCCGGAGCUCCUGGUUUUCUUAUUGUCACGAGCAAUCUUAUUUGUAAGAACUGGCUUGGGACAUCCACCUGUUGGAAGAAGUUAAUCCGUCAAGCUGCUGCAACUCUGGCAAGGCUCAGUGACCUUCAACAGACCAAGUCACUUGCUGUGACAGAGUGGAGGAAAUGUUUGUCCUUGGCUUCCAUUUUGGCUGAAUCUUUUUGUCAUAUUACCUGUUUCUUGGUCCCUGAAGGUAGAUGUCUGUCCGAAAUAAAGUCAUCUGUUUUAAUUUCUCCGGC
RNAcentral lists this small RNA (8317 nucleotides) under Rattus norvegicus (Norway rat). Its description in RNAcentral is "uncharacterized LOC102556364". The record is from RNAcentral. Lineage: Eukaryota; Metazoa; Chordata; Mammalia; Rodentia; Muridae.